Molecule: ribosomal RNA, 214 nt
Filed under: uncultured bacterium
Lineage: Bacteria
Description: partial 16S ribosomal RNA
Rfam family: Bacterial small subunit ribosomal RNA
Source: RNAcentral
CCCAGUUCGGAUUGCAGGCUGCAACCCGCCUGCAUGAAGCUGGAAUCGCUAGUAAUCGCGGAUCAGAAUGCCGCGGUGAAUACGUUCCCGGGUCUUGUACACACCGCCCGUCACACCAUGGGAGUCGGUAACGCCCGAAGUCAGUGACCCAACCGGAAGGAGGGAGCUGCCGAAGGCGGGACUGGUAACUGGGGUGAAGUCGUAACAAGGUAAC